GACGAACGCUGGCGGCGUGCCUAACACAUGCAAGUCGAACGAUCCUUCGGGAUAGUGGCGGACGGGUGAGUAACACGUGGGAACGUGCCUUUAGGUUCGGAACAACACAGGGAAACUUGUGCUAAUACCGGAUAAGCCCUUCGGGGAAGGAUUUAUCGCCUUAGAGCGGCCCGCGUCUGAUUAGCUUGUUGGUGAGGUAAAGGCUCACCAAGGCUACGAUCAGUAGCUGGUCUGAGAGGAUGGCCAGCCACAUUGGGACUGAGACACGGCCCAAACUCCUACGGGAGGCAGCAGUGGGGAAUCUUGCGCAAUGGGCGAAAGCCUGACGCAGCCAUGCCGCGUGGAUGAUGAAGGUCUUAGGAUUGUAAAAUCCUUUCAGCGGGGACGAUAAUGA
RNAcentral lists this ribosomal RNA (394 nucleotides) under uncultured bacterium. Its description in RNAcentral is "bacterial SSU rRNA". It matches the Rfam family "Bacterial small subunit ribosomal RNA", at positions 28 to 454 of the family's 1533-position model. The record is from RNAcentral.